AGCGAACGCUGGCGGCGUGCUUAACACAUGCAAGUCGAACGAGAACGGAUUAUAGCUUGCUAUAAUUGUCAGCUAAGUGGCGCACGGGUGAGUAAUGUAUAGGUAAUAUGCCUCUUACUAAGGGAUAACAACUGGAAACGUUUGCUAAUACCUUAUACUCCUUAUUAACAGAAGUUAAUAAGGGAAAGAUUUAUUGGUAAGAGAUUAGCCUGUAUUGUAUCAGUUAGUUGGUGGGGUAAUGGCUUACCAAGACUAUGACACAUAACUGGUUUGAGAGGAUGAUCAGUCACACUGGAACUGAGACACGGUCCAGACUCCUACGGGAGGCAGCAGUGGGGAAUAUUGCACAAUGGACGAAAGUCUGAUGCAGCAACGCCGCGUGGAGGAUGACACAUUUCGGUGCGUAAACUCCUUUUAUAUGAGAAGAUAAUGACGGUAUUAUAUGAAUAAGCACCGGCUAACUCCGUGCCAGCAGCCGCAGUAA
Molecule: ribosomal RNA, 484 nt
Filed under: uncultured bacterium
Lineage: Bacteria
Description: partial 16S ribosomal RNA
Rfam family: Bacterial small subunit ribosomal RNA
Source: RNAcentral